AUUGAACGCUGGCGGCAGGCCUAACACAUGCAAGUCGAACGGUAACAGGAAGCAGCUUGCUGCUCGCUGACGAGUGGCGGACGGGUGAGUAAUGUCUGGGAAACUGCCUGAUGGAGGGGGGAUAACUACUGGAAACGGUAGCUAAUACCGCAUAACGUCGCAAGACCAAAGAGGGGGACCUUCGGGCCUCUUGCCAUCAGAUGUGCCCAGAUGGGAUUAGCUAGUUGGUGGGGUAACGGCUCACCAAGGCGACGAUCCCUAGCUGGUCUGAGAGGAUGACCAGCCACACUGGAACUGAGACACGGUCCAGACUCCUACGGGAGGCAGCAGUGGGGAAUAUUGCACAAUGGGCGCAAGCCUGAUGCAGCCAUGCCGCCGUGUAUGAAGAAGGCCUUCGGGUUGUAAAGUACUUCAGCGGGGAGGAAGGUGUUGUGGUUAAUAACCGCAGCAAUUGACGUUACCCGCAGAAGAAGCACCGGCUAACUCCGUGCCAGCCGCCGC
RNAcentral lists this ribosomal RNA (501 nucleotides) under uncultured bacterium. RNAcentral's name for it is "bacterial SSU rRNA". It matches the Rfam family "Bacterial small subunit ribosomal RNA", at positions 30 to 518 of the family's 1533-position model. The record is from RNAcentral.